GACGAACCGUGCGAACGUUGUUCGGAGUCACUGGGCUUAAAGGGCGCGUAGGCGGGCUCGCAAGUCAGGGGUGAAAUCCCACGGCUCAACCGUGGAAGUGCCUUUGAUACUGCGGGCCUGGAGGGAGGUAGGGGCGUGCGGAACUUCCGGUGGAGCGGUGAAAUGCGUAGAUAUCGGAAGGAACACCGGUGGCGAAAGCGGCGCGCUGGACCUCUUCUGACGCUGAGGCGCGAAAGCCAGGGGAGCAAACGGG
This 253-nucleotide ribosomal RNA is filed under the name uncultured bacterium. RNAcentral describes it as "partial 16S ribosomal RNA". It matches the Rfam family "Bacterial small subunit ribosomal RNA", at positions 524 to 776 of the family's 1533-position model. The record is from RNAcentral.